Non-coding RNA from Microcebus murinus (gray mouse lemur), 246 nucleotides. Lineage: Eukaryota; Metazoa; Chordata; Mammalia; Primates; Cheirogaleidae. The record is from RefSeq and is a predicted model, not a curated record.
CUGACCACUGGAGUUACAGAGAUAUGGAAAAUUUCCUACUUCCAGAGAGAGCUCAUGGUCUAACGGCAGAGACGGACACAACUAAUAUAGAAAAGAGUGAAUUCAAGUGAAAAUCUGGAAACUAUGAACUCCGGGAAUUAUGAACUCCAGAGAAAUGAGCUUGUUUUCAUUUCCUUCCAGUUUAAGAGUGUCUUUAACAUUCCAUCUUUGACAACAUGAUUGCCAUGAAGUCUUUGUGUGAGAAAG